This 363-nucleotide ribosomal RNA is filed under the name Streptococcus gordonii. Its description in RNAcentral is "bacterial SSU rRNA". It matches the Rfam family "Bacterial small subunit ribosomal RNA", at positions 28 to 368 of the family's 1533-position model. The record is from RNAcentral. Lineage: Bacteria; Bacillati; Bacillota; Bacilli; Lactobacillales; Streptococcaceae.
GACGAACGCUGGCGGCGUGCCUAAUACAUGCAAGUAGAACGCACAGUUUAUACCGUAGCUUGCUACACCAUAGACUGUGAGUUGCGAACGGGUGAGUAACGCGUAGGUAACCUGCCUGGUAGCGGGGGAUAACUAUUGGAAACGAUAGCUAAUACCGCAUAAUAUUAAUUAUUGCAUGAUAAUUGAUUGAAAGGUGCAAUUGCACCACUACCAGAUGGACCUGCGUUGUAUUUAGCUAGUAGGUGAGGUAACGGCUCACCUAGGCGACGAUACAUAGCCGACCUGAGAGGGUGAUCGGCCACACUGGGACUGAGACCACGGCCCCAGACUCCUACGGGAGGCCAGCCAGUAGGGAAUUUUUCG